Long non-coding RNA from Acyrthosiphon pisum (pea aphid), 550 nucleotides. RefSeq lists it as uncharacterized. Lineage: Eukaryota; Metazoa; Arthropoda; Insecta; Hemiptera; Aphididae. The transcript is spliced from 3 exons. The record is from RefSeq and is a predicted model, not a curated record.
UCUUAAGACUUAGCAACUAUUUUUUUUAAAUAUUUCAAAACAUUAAACUAAAUUAAAUACACUUUUUCAGCUGAUAUUCUAAAGAUAAAAAAUUACUCAAAUUAUAUUAAACAAGAUUUGACAUCAUUUAUUGAUAAUGAGAGCUCCAGAAACAACAACCAACGGCCAGAAAAACUACAAUUAGAAAAAAAUAUUUUAUCAUCAUUCCCUUUGAAUAAUGAAAAUUAACUUUUGUCUAUGGAGAACAACUUAUUAUCUGAAGACUUAGAUUAUACUAACAAACUGGUUACAGCGUUCAUAUAUUUUGCAUUUGAAGGAAAAACAAUCACAAAAGUAACAAACAGUAUAUUAAGAACAGUGAUUUCUGAUGAUUUAGCUAAAGAGUACAGCUGGAAGGUCAGAAGAAUAAGAAUGCGUUCUAAGAUUUAACCAUCAGUAAGAUAAUAAUAGAUGCUGUGCUCAAGAAAUUCCCAAACAUACAAGAUUGUAAACAGGAAAUAAAACGCAGCAUAAUGACAUGGCUGGCGCAAGCACCUACCCGCAUUAUAAG